AUUGAACGCUGGCGGCAGGCCUAACACAUGCAAGUCGAGCGAGUGGCGGACGGGUGAGUAAUGUCGGGAACACUGUCUGAUGGAGGGAGAUAAACUCUGGACACGGUCUCUAAUACCGCAUACUCUCGGAUGUGCCCAGAUGGGAUUAGCUAGGAGGGGGGGUAACGGCUCACCUAGGCGACGAGCCAUAGCUGGUCUGAGAGGAUGACCAGCCACACUGGAACUGAGACACGGUCCAGACUCCUACGGGAGGCAGCAGUGGGGAAUAUUGCACAAUGGGCGCAAGCCUGAUGCAGCCAUGCCGCGUGUAUGAAGAAGGCCUUCGGGUUGUAAAGUACUUUCAGCGGGGAGGCGUUACCCGCAGAAGAAGCACCGGCUAACUCCGUGCCAGCAGCCGCGGUAAUUC
This 406-nucleotide ribosomal RNA is filed under the name uncultured bacterium. RNAcentral describes it as "partial 16S ribosomal RNA". It matches the Rfam family "Bacterial small subunit ribosomal RNA", at positions 30 to 526 of the family's 1533-position model. The record is from RNAcentral.